CCUCACCUGCACGCCCCUCUCUUCUCCUUUCUUUUCUUUCUUUCCUCUUCUCCAUCUCACGCACUCUCCUCCUCCUUCUCCCCUAGUUUUUCACGCAGCCCAGCCCCCUCCCUUUCUUUCCCCCACGUUCUCAUCUCCCUCUCCCUUUCUUUUGCCCAGCCAAGCGACAACCCGAGAGAGAGAGAGAUGCUGAAUUUCAGAGAAGAAGAAGCAACCAGUUGAUGGGAAAAUUUAUGGGUUUCGGCCAUGGGCUUUUGUGGGGAUAGUGUCCGGAUUGGAGACUUGAAUUGAUUCUCCAAUGUAGAGUCCAAGUGACUAGAAUCCGAGGGGAUGUUCAAGUCAAGAGUCUAAUGCAGCCAGAUGAUGUCCUUUUGGCUGCAGGUACUCGGGUCGUAGUUGAUGGGGGGGUCGUAGACGUGCAUUUGGGAUAUUAUGACCGAAGCUUGCCGCGAUGGUCGUAAUUGCGGGACCAUGGGCGUCCUCAGUUUUAUAGGUUUUGUUGUGGCUUGUGACGCAUGUGUCACUCGUUAUUGUAUAAAGCCAUUCCGUUAUGUAUUUAUAUUGUGGAAAGACUUAAACACAUAGGUAUUAAAUGGCUCUUGUUGUUAUUAAUUUAUGAUAGAUGUUUAAGAUGUGAUUUCCGCUAUUGAGUUUAUGUUUUCCGCUGCAUAGUAGUUAGAUGUUGUACUCUGAUUUACCAGGUACAUAUUAUGGUGUAUGUACCAUAUGUUGGCUUUGCAACACAUCGUCGUGCCAAUGUGAGGAUCCAUUUGUAUUUUAAGAGAUUAACAUUUAUGAAAUGUUUUGUAUAAAAAAAAA
Alnus glutinosa is the source of this 819-nucleotide long non-coding RNA. RefSeq lists it as uncharacterized. The record is from RefSeq and is a predicted model, not a curated record. The transcript has 3 exons. Lineage: Eukaryota; Viridiplantae; Streptophyta; Magnoliopsida; Fagales; Betulaceae.